AAAGUGGCUGUAGACAAAUGCAAACAACUGGGUGUGGCCGUGUUCCAAUAAAACUUUAUAGACACAAAUUUGAAUGAUUUUCAGAUGUCAUGAAAUAUUUUUAUUCUUUUGAUAUUUUUUUCAAUGUUUAAAAAAUGUACAAAACAUGCUUAAUUCACAGGCUGUACAAAAACAAACAAAAAAGGCAGCAAGCAGGAUUCGUCUCGUUGGCCAUAAUGUGCUGACCUUAGCCAACUUAGGGAACAUUCUCCAGCCCUUCCCCAUAAAUAUCCACCCAAAGAAAACCACAGUUAGGAGCCCCUCUGCUUAUUCUUCAGCUACGUUGGGUCCUGCUCCCAGAGGAAAUUCAUGAGUUCUAUUGAUUAAGCUUUUCUUUGUUGAGAUUCUGGGUUCUGCUCCCUGGGAUACAGAUGAAUGCUUAGAGCCUGGAGAGCCAUUCGACUUUAUCUCUGGAUUUGAAGUUUUUAAUAAAAGAACUGGGCACAGAGAAAUCUGUGAGAAUUGGAAAAUGAGCACCCGUUCUUUCCAAGCUAACCAAAUAUUUACUGGCUCUUGGCAGCCAUAGUCAACCUUUUCCUCUGAAAUGCUGAGAGGUUAUAAGUAAUGGGAGAAUUCAUUUUUCUCAGGCCGUAGCUCUUGUGAGAAGCUGGAGCUGCCUCUCAAAACCUGGAGGGUUCUCAGGGAGAGGAGAGUCAGGGUUUUAUCUUCAAAGUCUCCUCCGAGAAAUGGUCGGAGCCGAGUCAGGGGGCCCUGACAGUGCUAACGGUCUGUGCCCCUCCAUGCAGCAAGGGAGCUGCUCAACACCCCAGCACCUUCUCUGGCCCCUGUCUUCCUAUAAUGCCUAGCUCCCUAAACCCCAAAUUUAGGGGUUUGUCAGCCCUGACUUGUGAGAGAGAAUGAGACUGAAUUCACAUGGGCACAAGCGUGUGCCUCUCUUUGUAUCUCUAGCUUGCGAUUAAAUUGAUAGUUUCAAAAGGAUGGUUAUGCAUGAGCCUGGGUCAUUCGCUAAGUAGUAGUGUAGACUAAAUCCUCUUCAGCAGGUCUCCCUGGUGAUUUCGUGUACUUAGGUUUGUGUAUUGCAUAUGGUUCUGCUAUUAAAGCUGCCAGGAACACAGUUUCUGGGGUAAAAUAACCUGAACUUUAUAAAGAGAAGUUUAAGCAAGAGAAAGCUUAGAAGACAUCCAGUGCAACCUCAUCUUUUACAGAGUAGGAAACAGGUUGUUUCAUUCAUUUUUCAUUCAUUUGUUCAUCUGUUCACUCAUUCAACAUUUGUUGUGUAGAAUAAACAGAGGUAGAAGUGGCCUUUAUCCUCACAGCGCUAACAAGAGGGGGAUUUGAAAAUCAUCUGCCCGAGAAUAUUGCCUGGCAUACUUGUUAAAAAUGCACACUCCAGAUCCACCAAAUGCACCCCCAAGAGCUACUGAGCUUGAGUUUUUAGGGGUACAAUGGUGGCAGCUGCGUUUUUAAUAAGCUCUUCAGGUGAUUGUUGAUACAAACUAAAUUUGACACACAUUCUUGAUAUAGGGAAGGAGGCUGGCCAUUUAACAGGACAACACUGUUUCAUAAGAGCUGAGCAGAAGAUGGGCUUCCAACCCCUGCCUGGGGAGACAAGAGAGCAGGGUCAGAGUUUCCUGACGAAAGGGCUGAGUGCCUAAGCUAGUCCUGAAGGUUAAGUUAAUCUUAAGGAGCAAAGAAGCAGAGGAAGGGUGGACCAAGCAGAGGACAGAGCAUGUGCAGAACCACCAGGAGGAGGAAAGUAACAUGCCAGGAUCACCCAACAGGCUAGUUGGAGCGUUCAAGGUGGUCUCAUCUCUGGGCUGAGUGAUCCUGCACCCGUCCUGAGCCCCAGCCCUUUCUGCGUAGGCCUGCGAGCUCAGAGUGUUCUUUCCCAAGCCAGCAGAGGAUGGUGAUGCUGAUGCUGCUGGAUGGGACCACACUUUGAGAACCAAAUGCAGAGGCGAGUGUCGGCACCUAAAUCAAGAAGUGGACAUCGCCAUACAGACCAACCUACAUAGAUGUAAAGACACUGGCCACACCCUACUCAGGCUAUUCCCUU
Equus caballus (horse) is the source of this 2056-nucleotide long non-coding RNA. The record is from Ensembl. Lineage: Eukaryota; Metazoa; Chordata; Mammalia; Perissodactyla; Equidae.